AUUGAACGCUGGCGGCAGGCCUAACACAUGCAAGUCGAGCGGAUGAAGGGAGCUUGCUCCUGGAUUCAGCGGCGGACGGGUGAGUAAUGCCUAGGAAUCUGCCUGGUCGUGGGGGAUAACGUCCGGAAACGGGCGCUAAUACCGCAUACGUCCUGAGGUAGAAAGUGGGGGAUCUUCGGACCUCACGCUAUUAGAUGAGCCUAGGUCGGAUUAGCUAGUUGGUGGGGUAAAGGCCUACCAAGGCGACGAUCCGUAACUGGUCUGAGAGGAUGAUCAGUCACACUGGAACUGAGACACGGUCCAGACUCCUACGGGAGGCAGCAGUGGGGAAUAUUGGACAAUGGGCGAAAGCCUGAUCCAGCCAUGCCGCGUGUGUGAAGAAGGUCUUCGGAUUGUAAAGCACUUUAAGUUGGGAGGAAGGGCAGUAAGUGAAUACCUGGCUGUUUUGACGGUACCAACAGAAUAAGCACCGGCUAACUUCGUG
Molecule: ribosomal RNA, 484 nt
Filed under: uncultured bacterium
Lineage: Bacteria
Description: partial 16S ribosomal RNA
Rfam family: Bacterial small subunit ribosomal RNA
Source: RNAcentral